GUUGUGACUCAGUGGUAGUGCACUCGUCUGGCAUGUGUGAGGCACUGGGUUCGAUCCUCAGCUCGACA
This 68-nucleotide transfer RNA is filed under the name Marmota monax (woodchuck). RNAcentral describes it as "tRNA.Ala". The record is from RNAcentral. Lineage: Eukaryota; Metazoa; Chordata; Mammalia; Rodentia; Sciuridae.